GAUUAACGCUAGCGGCAGGCCUAAUACAUGCAAGUUGGUACGGGAUUAUUGGUAGCAAUACUGAUAUGAGAGUAGCGCACGGGUGCGUAACACGUAUGCAACCUACCUUUAACUGGGGAAUAGCUCACCGAAAGGGUGAAUUAAUACCGCAUAAAAUCACAGAAGGACAUCCUUUAAUGAUUAAAUCUCCGGAGGUUAAAGAUGGGCAUGCGUCCGAUUAGC
This 222-nucleotide ribosomal RNA is filed under the name uncultured bacterium. RNAcentral describes it as "partial 16S ribosomal RNA". It matches the Rfam family "Bacterial small subunit ribosomal RNA", at positions 28 to 245 of the family's 1533-position model. The record is from RNAcentral.